GGAAAGAUGAAGAAAACAGAAUGAGUUUCUGAUAACAGUGUUCCCAACACUUAAUGGUUAAAAGAAGCUUUGAGGAACACCAUAUUUCAGCCCUAUGGAACAGUGAACAAAAAGGAAAAAGCCAGUCUCCGUAACUAUUAAUUUCUCUGUCCUUCUAAUCUGUAUUCCCUGAGAAAUUAAUUGGGCUGGCAAGUCAAAGCCCUGAACCCCAGCUGCAGCUUUCUGAGCUUGUUCUGUCCAUCUGUGAAGUAAGGCAAUGAGAAGUGAGUCGGGGAACGGAACCCACGAUGCGUCAGAGGAGUGUUCCAGUUGCACACACACUCCCCAGCCACCUGGCAGCUCAGUCUAUAAUCUGGAGGCUUCCACAUCUACAGCUCCAUACAAAUGAACCUCUGGUUCUAAAGAAGUUUCUUCCUUGUCUGGUUCUCACUUUCUAAACCUCAGUCUCUGGAGAGAAAAGGAGUCCUGGAGGAUGAACAAGGCGAGCUUGGAGUAAUUUGGAAAAGCUAAUGUUGUAGGACAGAAGCAAAGCCUGCAAGUCACAGCCUAGGUUCCCUGAGUGAUGUUUUCAGCAGUAAACUGCAACUUCAAAGCUAA
Molecule: long non-coding RNA, 597 nt
Filed under: Homo sapiens (human)
Lineage: Eukaryota; Metazoa; Chordata; Mammalia; Primates; Hominidae
Description: HSALNT0354996
Source: RNAcentral